GUGCUGGGGUCUCAGGAGGCAGCGCUCUGGGGACUUCUCCACUAUGGCCUGGAAUCUGCUCCUCCUCGUUCUCCUCAGUCAGGGCACAGGGUCCUGGGCUCAGUCUGCCCUGACUCAGCCUCGCUCAGUGUCCGAGUCUCCUGGACAGUCGGUCACCAUCUCCUGCACUGGAACCAGCAGUGAUGUUGGGGGUUAUAAUGCUGUGUGUUGGUACCAGCAGCACCCAGGCACAGCCCCCAAACUCAUGAUUUGUGAUGUCAGUAAUCGGCCCUCAGGGGUCCCUAAUCGCUUCUCUGGCUCCCAGUCUGGCAACACGGCCUCCCUGACCAUCUCUGGGCUCCAGGCUGAGGACAAGGCUGAUUAUUACUGCAGCUCAUACGCAGGCAGUGACACUCUCCACAGUGGUCCAGGUUCAUGGGGAACUGAGACCAAAACCUGCCCUGGGCUCUCAGGCUCCCUCCUUGCUCUGAAGAUGCUUCCUCAGCUGGUCCAAGGUCUGUCGUUAGAUAAGAACGUACUCACUUCAUCUACUUGAUUGGAUCAUGGGUUUGCCAAAGACAGCCCGGUGUCACAAUCACAGCACAUGCAUCUGCAUUGCUUGCUCUGAGUUUUGGGAGAGCUUUCAUAUGUCAGGAAUAGACUCCUCCUAAGGCAAAGUCUGAGGCAGAGGGAGGGGCAAGUGGGCAAGAAAGUUUGUAUUAGAGCUGGAAUAUCCAGUGCAGACUCCGAGAGAAGGGUGCUCGUAUCAGCACUUGACUGAAGCCGAAACAGAAGAGAACAGGGAAGUUCUGAGAAUAGCAAAUGAAUAAAUGAAUAAACAGUUUACGUUUUAAAUGUAUUGAAUGUUUUUAUAAUCCAUGAAAAGUCUAGAACAGAAUUUAACGAUGGGAUAAGGAAAAGAGCUUGAGAUGUUAAACUGUAAGGAGCCCAAGGCAAGUUGCCAGAAAAAGAACAGGACCUUUUUGGUGGAAAUAUGUAUAUGCUCCAAAUUAUCCUUCUGUGUGUGUGUGUGUGUGUGUGUGUCUGUGUGUGUGUGUAAGGAAACAUUCCAUGGAACAUUCUUCUUCCUUAUACUCAAGAUCACUCUCGACCCACAGGGAACCUAAAGUAUAUGGCAGGCUGCAGGGACAUAACUUAAUCACGUUUGUAAAGUGCAUCACGCAGAGUCGCGCACACCCCAGCUGCUCCUGAGUUGGCAGCAAUUAUUCCUGAUCACUCGUGAAAACUGGACCUGGAUGGAGGGAAAGCAGUGCAGAGGGUUCCAGGGGGUUAGGAAAAGAGAGACUUUAAUGACUUAAAAGUAGAUCUAGGGGUGCAGGCGAGCAUCCCUGGGCGUUCUCCCGCUAACUCUCACCAUGUCUCAGAAACGGUUUCAAGGUGAAGUCUACUAGAGAGCUAAGGGAGGA
Molecule: non-coding RNA, 1406 nt
Organism: Cebus imitator (Panamanian white-faced capuchin)
Lineage: Eukaryota; Metazoa; Chordata; Mammalia; Primates; Cebidae
Source: the annotation of a RefSeq genome assembly